This 253-nucleotide ribosomal RNA is filed under the name uncultured bacterium. RNAcentral describes it as "partial 16S ribosomal RNA". It matches the Rfam family "Bacterial small subunit ribosomal RNA", at positions 524 to 776 of the family's 1533-position model. The record is from RNAcentral.
UACGUAGGGUGCAAGCGUUGUCCGGAUUUACUGGGCGUAAAGAGCGUGUAGGCGGCCACGCAGGUCCGUUGUGAAAACUGGAGGCUCAACCUUCAGACGUCGACGGAAACCGUAUGGCUAGAGUCCGGAAGAGGAGAGUGGAAUUCCUGGUGUAGCGGUGAAAUGCGCAGAUAUCAGGAAGAACACCAAUUGCGAAGGCAGCUCGCUGGGACGUUACUGACGCUGAGACGCGAAAGCGUGGGGAGCAAACAGG